CUAUUAUUUUGAGCGUUAAUUUUUUUUUACCUGGGUAUUAAUAGUUAAGUUCUUUAAACCCAAAGAAUUUGGCGGUAUUUCAUUCCAUUCAGAGGAACCUAUCUUGUAAUUGAUAGUACACGAUUUACUUUACUUAAUUUAUUUGUUUGUAUAUCUCCGUUAUCAGGAAAUCUUUUUGGAGUUAUAAUUUUCUUGUUUUUUUAUUAAAAUUUAUUUCAGGUCAAGGUGCAGCUUAUAAUUAAGGUUUUGACGGGUUACAAUAAUUUCAUAUUAUUAUGGAUUUUUUCUUGGAAUAUUUUAAUGAAGGUGGAUUUGAAAGUAAUUUAAUUUAUUUAAUUUAAUUGAUAUUGGCUCUGAAGUGUGUACACAUCGCCCC
This 376-nucleotide ribosomal RNA is filed under the name Oedipoda charpentieri. RNAcentral describes it as "partial 12S ribosomal RNA". Lineage: Eukaryota; Metazoa; Arthropoda; Insecta; Orthoptera; Acrididae. The record is from RNAcentral.